Molecule: ribosomal RNA, 497 nt
Filed under: uncultured bacterium
Lineage: Bacteria
Description: partial 16S ribosomal RNA
Rfam family: Bacterial small subunit ribosomal RNA
Source: RNAcentral
GAUGAACGCUGGCGGCGUGCCUAAUACAUGCAAGUCGAGCGAACGGACGAGAAGCUUGCUUCUCUGAUGUUAGCGGCGGACGGGUGAGUAACACGUGGAUAACCUACCUAUAAGACUGGGAUAACUUCGGGAAACCGGAGCUAAUACCGGAUAAUAUUUUGAACCGCAUGGUUCAAAAGUAAAAGACGGUCUUGCUGUCACUUAUAGAUGGAUCCGCGCUGCAUUAGCUAGUUGGUAAGGUAACGGCUUACCAAGGCAACGAUGCAUAGCCGACCUGAGAGGGUGGUCGGCCACACUGGAACUGAGACACGGUACAGACUCCGACGGGAGGAAGCAGUAGGGAAUCUUCCGCAAAGGGCGAAAGCCUGACGGAGCAACGCCGCGUGAGUGAUGAAGGUCUUCGGAUCGUAAAACUCUGUUAUUAGGGAAGAACAUAUGUGUAAGUAACUGUGCACAUCUUGACGGUACCUAAUCAGAAAGCCACGGCUAACUACGUG